UUCCGCAAUGGGCGAAAGCCUGACGGAGCAAGACCGCGUGGGGGAAGAAGGCUCUUGGGUUGUAAACCCCUUUUCUCUGGGAAGAAAGUUGUGAAAGCAGCCUGACGGUACCAGAGGAAUCAGCAUCGGCUAACUCCGUGCCAGCAGCCGCGGUAAGACGGAGGAUGCAAGCGUUAUCCGGAAUGAUUGGGCGUAAAGCGUCCGCAGGUGGCAGUUCAAGUCUGCUGUCAAAGACCGGGGCUCAACCUCGGAAAGGCAGUGGAAACUGAACAGCUAGAGUAUGGUAGGGGCAAAGGGAAUUCCUGGUGUAGCGGUGAAAUGCGUAGAGAUCAGGAAGAACAUCGGUGGCGAAGGCGCUUUGCUGGACCAUAACUGACACUCAGGGACGAAAGCUAGGGGAGCGAAAGG
RNAcentral lists this ribosomal RNA (408 nucleotides) under uncultured cyanobacterium. RNAcentral's name for it is "bacterial SSU rRNA". It matches the Rfam family "Bacterial small subunit ribosomal RNA", at positions 364 to 775 of the family's 1533-position model. The record is from RNAcentral. Lineage: Bacteria; Bacillati; Cyanobacteriota.